This 460-nucleotide ribosomal RNA is filed under the name uncultured bacterium. RNAcentral's name for it is "partial 16S ribosomal RNA". It matches the Rfam family "Bacterial small subunit ribosomal RNA", at positions 338 to 795 of the family's 1533-position model. The record is from RNAcentral.
CCUACGGGUGGCAGCAGUGAGGAAUAUUGGUCAAUGGGCGCGAGCCUGAACCAGCCAAGUCGCGUGAAGGAUGACUGCCCUACGGGUUGUAAACUUCUUUUAUCAAGGAAUAAAGUGAGGCACGUGAGCCUCUUUGUAUGUAUUUUAUGAAUAAGGAUCGGCCAACUCCGUGCCAGCAGCCGGGGUAAUACGGAGGAUCCGGGCGUUAUCCGGAUUUAGUGGGGUUAAAGGGAGCGUAGAUGGGGUGUAAAGUCAGUUGGGAAAGUUUAUGGCUAAACCGUAGAACUGCAAUUGAUACUGGCAGCCUGGAGUACAGGAGAGGUAGGCGGAAUUCGUGGUGUAGCGGUGAAAUGCUUAGAUAUCACGAAGAACUCCGAUUGCGAAGGCAGCCUACUAGACUGCCACUGACGUUGAUGCUCGAAAGUGUGGGUAUCAAACAGGAUUAGAUACCCCUGUAGUC